CAUCCUGAGGAAGCAUCAUUACCACUCAUAAAAAUCUUUACACGAGCACUGUCACAACACUAUAGUGGGUGGUCUUAUGUGGCGGCGGCUGGUGGCAUAAUUGGUGGCGGCUGCUGAUGAGUGAGCCCUUAUCAAAAAAAAGCGCAAACGUUGGGGUUUCCCCGAGAUUAUGUAGUCUUUUUUCUUUUAAACCCAUUCCUUAAUACUGAAUAUACUGUGGGGACGAAAGUCUCUGCUUUUAACUAGAUAGCAACUUUCAGCAGUGGAUGUCUAGGCUCGCACAUCGAUGAAGAACGCUGCGAACUGCGAUACGUAAUGCGAAUUGCAGGAUUCAGUGAGUCAUCGAAAUUUUGAACGCAUAUUGCACUUCCGGGUUAGUCCUGGAAGUAUGCCUGUAUCAGUGUCCGUACAUUAAACUUGACUUUCUUCCUUCCGUGUAGUCGGUGGAGGAGAUGUCAGAUGUGAAGUGUCUUGCGAUUGGUCUUCGGACCGGCUGCGAGUCCUUUUAAAUGUACUAAACUGAACUUCUCUUUGCUCGAAAAGUGGUGGCGUUGCUGGUUGUGAAGGCUGCUAUUGUGGCAAAUUGGCGACUGGUUUGUCUGCUGCGGCAUUAAUGGAAGAGUGUUCGAUUCGUGGUAUGGUUGGCUUCGGCUGAACAAUGCACUUAUUGGACGUUUUUCCUGCUGUGGCGUGAUGGACUGGUGAACCAUAGCUCGGUGGCUUGGCUUUUGAAUUGGCUUUGCUGUUGCGAAGUAGGGUGGCAGCUUCGGUUGUCGAGGGUCGAUCCAUUUGGGAACUUAAUGUGUACUUCGGUAUGCAUCUCAAUUGGACCUGAUAUCAGGCAAGAUA
This is a ribosomal RNA of 849 nucleotides. The stretch from base 252 to 406 matches the Rfam family "5.8S ribosomal RNA".